This 375-nucleotide unclassified non-coding RNA is filed under the name soil metagenome. Its description in RNAcentral is "partial contains 5.8S ribosomal RNA, internal transcribed spacer 2, and large subunit ribosomal RNA". The stretch from base 1 to 120 matches the Rfam family "5.8S ribosomal RNA", at positions 35 to 154 of the family's 154-position model. The record is from RNAcentral.
GAUGAAGAACGUAGCGAAAUGCGAUAAGUAAUGUGAAUUGCAGAAUUCAGUGAAUCAUCGAAUCUUUGAACGCACAUUGCGCCCGCCAGUAUUCUGGCGGGCAUGCCUGUUCGAGCGUCAUUUCAACCCUCAAGACCCCUUCGGGGGACCUGGUGUUGGGGACCGGCACAGGGGCCUGCCUGCUUGUCUUGCAGCGCCCUCGCCGCCCCCGAAAUGAAUUGGCGGCCUCGUCGCGGCCUCCCCUGCGUAGUAGCACAAACCUCGCAACGGGAACGUGACGGCGGCCACUGCCGUAAAACAACCCAAUUUUAUUAGAGUUGACCUCGAAUCAGGUAGGAAUACCCGCUGAACUUAAGCAUAUCAAUAAGCGGAGGA